This 165-nucleotide ribosomal RNA is filed under the name uncultured Allobrachymonas sp. RNAcentral's name for it is "uncultured Brachymonas sp. partial 16S ribosomal RNA". It matches the Rfam family "Bacterial small subunit ribosomal RNA", at positions 1222 to 1382 of the family's 1533-position model. The record is from RNAcentral. Lineage: Bacteria; Pseudomonadati; Pseudomonadota; Betaproteobacteria; Burkholderiales; Comamonadaceae.
GUCAUACAAUGGCCGGUAACGAGACGGGUAGCCAACCCGCGAGGGGGAGCCAAUCCCACAAAGCCGGUCGUAGUCCGGAUCGCAGUCUGCAACUCGACUGCGUGAAGUCGGAAUCGCUAGUAAUCGCGGAUCAGCAUGUCGCGGUGAAUACGGUUCCCGGGUCUU